AAAACCCAAAUAAUAAACAUGGGUUUUUACUCAAGUUUCAAGAAUAUUUGUUUGUUGGAGACAUCGUGACGUAUAAAGGGAAAGAAGCCAUAGUUUAGAAGUAGCUAUUUAAAAAUGCCUGAUCUCCUUUGUUUAAAUCUGGAUCUUGCUGCUGGAUCUGUAAACACAGGAGGAAGAAGUGUCUCCUCAGCUCUUCACCUUCCAUGAGGCCGUGUCACAGUUGGUGGAGAUGGAGGAGCAGGUCCUACUAGAGGACCACAGAGCUGUUUUCCAGGAGUCUAUCCGGUGGCUGGAAGAUCAAAAGGUGCUGCUAGAGAUGACGGAGGAGGUGGAUUUUUGACUUGGAGUCUCGCGCCACGCAGCUGGAGCAGAUCCUAGAGCGAAACAUAGAAAUCUUCACUAAGCUCCGAGAUGAAGUGAAGUCAUUCCGUUCACUGCAGGAGGAGAAGCAAGCCUUACGCAAGCACGUGGAAAACUUGGAAAAGCACCAUGUAAACUCCAUGCUUCACUGCCAAUCUUGUGAUGUCAAACAGAAUGUGGAUGCAAUAAAUA
Long non-coding RNA from Pelmatolapia mariae (spotted tilapia), 552 nucleotides. RefSeq lists it as uncharacterized. The transcript is spliced from 3 exons. The record is from RefSeq and is a predicted model, not a curated record. NCBI's taxonomy places the organism in Eukaryota, Metazoa, Chordata, Actinopteri, Cichliformes, Cichlidae.